Molecule: ribosomal RNA, 437 nt
Filed under: uncultured bacterium
Lineage: Bacteria
Description: partial 16S ribosomal RNA
Rfam family: Bacterial small subunit ribosomal RNA
Source: RNAcentral
AGCGAACGCUGGCGGCAGGCUUAACACAUGCAAGUCGAGCGGACAUCCUUGUGGUUUCCGCGGCAGACGGGUGAGUAACGCGUGGGAACGUGCCCUUCGGUUCGUACUAACUCGGGGAAACUUGAGCUAAUACCGGAGACGUGCGAGAGCAGAAUGUAUUAUCUCCCGUAGGUUCGGCGCGCGUCUGUUUAGCUGGGUGGUGAGGGUACGGCUCACCACGGCGACGACCAGUAGCUGGUGUGAGAGGAUGAUCAGGCACACUGGCGCUGAGACACGGCACAGACUCCUACGCGAGGGAGGAGUGGGGAAUAUAGGACCAUGGGGGCAGCCCUGAUGCAGCCAGGCCGGGUGAGUGAUGACGUCAUUAGGGUAGUAAAGCUCUUUUCGCCGUGCCGGUAAUGACGGUACCGGAGGAAUAAGCCCCGGCUAACUUCGUG